GAGGGUAUAGCUCAAGUGGUGGAGCACAUGCUUAGCAUGAAUGAGGUUCUGGGUUCAAUCUCCAGUACACCUA
Transfer RNA from Camelus ferus (Wild Bactrian camel), 73 nucleotides. It matches the Rfam family "tRNA". Rfam says of the family: Transfer RNA (tRNA) molecules are approximately 80 nucleotides in length. Their secondary structure includes four short double-helical elements and three loops (D, anti-codon, and T loops). NCBI's taxonomy places the organism in Eukaryota, Metazoa, Chordata, Mammalia, Artiodactyla, Camelidae. The record is from Rfam.